This 2447-nucleotide ribosomal RNA is filed under the name Limnohabitans sp. TS-CS-82. Its description in RNAcentral is "bacterial LSU rRNA". It matches the Rfam family "Bacterial large subunit ribosomal RNA", at positions 484 to 2925 of the family's 2925-position model. The record is from RNAcentral. Lineage: Bacteria; Pseudomonadati; Pseudomonadota; Betaproteobacteria; Burkholderiales; Comamonadaceae.
CCGAUAGUGAACUAGUACCGUGAGGGAAAGGCGAAAAGAACCCCGGGAGGGGAGUGAAAUAGAUCCUGAAACCGUAUGCUUACAAAAAGUAGGAGCCCGCAAGGGUGACUGCGUACCUUUUGUAUAAUGGGUCAGCGACUUACAUUCAGUGGCAAGGUUAACCGAAUAGGGAAGCCGUAGAGAAAUCGAGUCCGAAUAGGGCGAAUUAGUCGCUGGGUGUAGACCCGAAACCAAGUGAUCUAUCCAUGGGCAGGAUGAAGGUGCCGUAACAGGUACUGGAGGUCCGAACCGACUAAUGUUGCAAAAUUAGCGGAUGACCUGUGGAUAGGGGUGAAAGGCUAAACAAACUUGGAAAUAGCUGGUUCUCUCCGAAAACUAUUUAGGUAGUGCCUCAAGUAUUACCGUCGGGGGUAGAGCACUGUUUUGGCUAGGGGGUCAUGGCGACUUACCAAACCAAUCCUUACUCCGAAUACCGACGAGUACAGCUUGGGAGACAGAGCACCGGGUGCUAACGUCCGGACUCAAGAGGGAAACAACCCAGACCGCCAGCUAAGGUCCCUAAAAUUGGCUAAGUGGGAAACGAAGUGGGAAGGCUAAAACAGUCAGGAUGUUGGCUUAGAAGCAGCCAUCAUUUAAAGAAAGCGUAAUAGCUCACUGAUCGAGUCGUCCUGCGCGGAAGAUGUAACGGGGCUAAGCCAGUUACCGAAGCUGCGGAUUUGCAAUUUAUUGCAAGUGGUAGGAGAGCGUUCUGUAAGCCUGUGAAGGUGCGUUGUAAAGCGUGCUGGAGGUAUCAGAAGUGCGAAUGCUGACAUGAGUAGCGUUAAAGGGGGUGAAAAGCCCCCUCGCCGUAAGCGCAAGGUUUUCUACGCAACGUUCAUCGGCGUAGAGUGAGUCGGCCCCUAAGGCGAGGCAGAGAUGCGUAGUUGAUGGGAAACAGGUAAAUAUUCCUGUACCGAUGUGUAGUGCGAUGUGGGGACGGAGAAGGUUAGCUCAGCAGACUGUUGGAUAUGUCUGUUCAAGCCUGUAGUCGUGCCUGGUAGGUAAAUCCGCCGGGCUUAGAUGAGGGGUGAUAACGAGGAUGCUUGCAUCCGAAGUGAGUGAUACCCUGCUUCCAGGAAAAGCCACUAAGCUUCAGCUACACACGACCGUACCGCAAACCGACACUGGUGCGCGAGAUGAGUAUUCUAAGGCGCUUGAGAGAACUCAGGAGAAGGAACUCGGCAAAUUGACACCGUAACUUCGGAAGAAGGUGUGCCUUUAGUAUGUGAACCUGUACAAGGGGAGCAGAAUGAGGCCUCAGAGAAUCGGUGGCUGCGACUGUUUAAUAAAAACACAGCACUCUGCAAACACGAAAGUGGACGUAUAGGGUGUGACGCCUGCCCGGUGCUGGAAGAUUAAAUGAUGGGGUGCAAGCUCUUGAUUGAAGUCCCAGUAAACGGCGGCCGUAACUAUAACGGUCCUAAGGUAGCGAAAUUCCUUGUCGGGUAAGUUCCGACCUGCACGAAUGGCGUAACGAUGGCCACACUGUCUCCUCCUGAGACUCAGCGAAGUUGAAAUGUUUGUGAUGAUGCAAUCUCCCCGCGGAAAGACGGAAAGACCCCAUGAACCUUUACUGUAGCUUUGUAUUGGAUUUUGAACGGAUCUGUGUAGGAUAGGUGGGAGGCUUUGAAGCCGGGACGCUAGUCUCGGUGGAGCCAACGUUGAAAUACCACCCUGGUGUGUUUGAGGUUCUAACCUAGGUCCAUUAUCUGGAUCGGGGACAGUGCAUGGUAGGCAGUUUGACUGGGGCGGUCUCCUCCCAAAGCGUAACGGAGGAGUUCGAAGGUACGCUAGUUACGGUCGGACAUCGUGAUGAUAGUGCAAUGGCAUAAGCGUGCUUAACUGCGAGACUGACAAGUCGAGCAGAUACGAAAGUAGGACAUAGUGAUCCGGUGGUUCUGUAUGGAAGGGCCAUCGCUCAACGGAUAAAAGGUACUCUGGGGAUAACAGGCUGAUACCGCCCAAGAGUUCAUAUCGACGGCGGUGUUUGGCACCUCGAUGUCGGCUCAUCUCAUCCUGGGGCUGUAGCCGGUCCCAAGGGUAUGGCUGUUCGCCAUUUAAAGAGGUACGUGAGCUGGGUUUAAAACGUCGUGAGACAGUUUGGUCCCUAUCUUCCGUGGGCGCUGCAGAUUUGAGGAAGCCUGCUCCUAGUACGAGAGGACCGGAGUGGACACACCUCUGGUGUAUCGGUUGUCACGCCAGUGGCAUUGCCGAGUAGCUAUGUGUGGAAGAGAUAACCGCUGAAAGCAUCUAAGCGGGAAACUCGUUUCAAGAUGAGAUCUGCCGGGGCCUUGAGCCCCCUAAAGAGUCGUUCAAGACCAGGACGUUGAUAGGUCAGGUGUGGAAGCGCAGUAAUGCGUUAAGCUAACUGAUACUAAUUGCUCGUGCGACUUGACCCUAUAACUUUG